GAUGAACGCUAGCGGCAGGCCUAACACAUGCAAGUCGAGGGAGAAGCCUUUCGGGGCAGAAGCCGGCGCACGGGUGCGAAACGCGUAUGCAACCUACCUUUCACAGGGGGAUAGCCCGAAGAAAUUUGGAAUAAUAGCCCAUAAUAUUAUAGGAUGGCAUCAUCCGUUAAUUAAAACUGCGGUGGUGAUAGAUGGGCAUGAGUCCUAUUAGCUAGUUGGAGGGGUAACGGCACCCUAAGGUUACGAUAGGUAGGGGUCCUGAGGGGGAGCUGCCCCAAACGGGUACUGAGCAAGGAACCAGACUCCCACGGCAGAGACCAGUAAGGAAGAUUGCACAAUGAUCGAAUGACUGAACCAGCCAUGCCUCGUGCAGGAAGACUGCCUUAUGGAUUAUAACCUGCUUUUUUAAGGGAAAAAUAACGUGUACGUAUACAUUGAUGACGGUACCGUAUGAAUAAGCAGCGGCUAACUACGUG
RNAcentral lists this ribosomal RNA (476 nucleotides) under uncultured bacterium. RNAcentral describes it as "partial 16S ribosomal RNA". It matches the Rfam family "Bacterial small subunit ribosomal RNA", at positions 28 to 507 of the family's 1533-position model. The record is from RNAcentral.